ACUCCUACGGGAGGCAGCAGGCGCGAAAACUUUACAAUGCUGGCAACAGCGAUAAGGGAACCUCGAGUGUCAGGUUACAAAUCUGGCUGUCGAGAUGCCUAAAAAGCAUUUCAUAGCAAGGGCCGGGCAAGACCGGUGCCAGCCGCCGCGGUAACACCGGCGGCUCGAGUGGUAACCGUUAUUAUUGGGUCUAAAGGGUCUGUAGCCGGCCGGAUAAGUCUCUUGAGAAAUCUGGCAGCUUAACUGUCAGGCUUUCAGGAGAUACUGUCUGGCUCGAGGCCGGGAGAGGUGAGAGGUACUUCAGGGGUAGGGGUGAAAUCUUGUAAUCCUUGAAGGACCACCAGUGGCGAAGGCGUCUCACCAGAACGGACCUGACGGCAAGGGACGAAAGCUAGGGGCACGAACCGGAUUAGAUACCCGGGUAGUCCUAGCCGUAAACGAUACUCGCUAGGUGUCGGCCACGGUGCGACCGUUGUCGGUGCCGUAGGGAAGCCGUGAAGCGAGCCACCUGGGAAGUACGGCCGCAAGGCUGAAACUUAAAGGAAUUGACGG
RNAcentral lists this ribosomal RNA (552 nucleotides) under uncultured bacterium. RNAcentral describes it as "bacterial SSU rRNA". It matches the Rfam family "Archaeal small subunit ribosomal RNA", at positions 319 to 871 of the family's 1478-position model. The record is from RNAcentral.